AUCUCGCAGCCCGACCUGAGUGGAGCUCUUUUUGCGAGGAGGAACGACGAGCAAAAAAGCGGGAACGGAGGGCGGAUUAAGCU
This 83-nucleotide unclassified non-coding RNA is filed under the name Chryseobacterium balustinum. Its description in RNAcentral is "Flavo-1 RNA". Lineage: Bacteria; Pseudomonadati; Bacteroidota; Flavobacteriia; Flavobacteriales; Weeksellaceae. The record is from RNAcentral.